UCUUCUUAAUAAAUAAGGAAAUUUAUACAUCUCUAAUUUUGGCCUUUUACCCAAAUUCAAUUAUAAAAUCCCAAAGUAAAUGACCAGCCCAUCCCUGACAAGCCCUCAACAUUCUCCAUAUAUUCAUGUCCCUUACGAUUAGGGUUUCCUCAUCCGCCGCUCCAUUUAGCUCCCCUUUCCUUUAACCUAAUAACCUGAAAUGCUCCCGCCUUGGAUGAAUCAAAACUUUACCUCCUUAUCUAGGUCAUUAACAAUGUUGCUUUAAUCUUGGAUCGAACUUGUUCUUCAUUUAAUCUGAGAUCUCAAUUCAGGUUAAAGGUAUACCAAUUAAAUUUUUUACCUCGAACUUACAGACGACAAUAUCUUCAAAUUUCUUAUAGAAAUUUCGAUUUAGUUAGUCGUUUAAAUAGAUGGACAAAUGACAAUCAUAGUUGAAGGAGCUUGUCAUGAGGCAAAUGAUUAAAAAUUUUCAGGAUCCGAACUCGAGGAUUGACGAAAUGAUCAAUGACGCGUUGAAGGUUCAAGGUGGAAUGGAACCCGAACAAUAUUUUGAUGUAGCUCCUUAUGAAGAAGGAAGGCGCUUAUAUGAUCACAUAUAAGAGUCUAGUCAUCCUCUAUGUGAAGGGAAUAUGAACACAAUAGGGUUCAUGAAAUGAUCAAUGGUGCUUAUAAGGUUCAAGGUGGGAUGGAACCCGAACAAUAUUUUGAUGAAGCUCCUAAUGAAGAAGGAAGACGCUUGUAUGAUCACAUAGAAGAGUCUAGUUGUCCUCUAUGUGAAGGGAGUCCGCAUUCUGCUUUGUUGAUUGUUGUUAGAUUGAUGUAUAUGAUCACAUAGAAGAGUCUAGUCAUCCUCUAUGUGAAGUGAGUCCGCAUUUUUAUCUAAGAGUUGUCAAUUGACUCUCUUACGACAAGUAUAUAUUUUCCCCAUGGAUCUUGCAGGUACAAGAAUCAACAAAAUAUUUAGAAA
Solanum lycopersicum (tomato) is the source of this 967-nucleotide long non-coding RNA. RefSeq lists it as uncharacterized. NCBI's taxonomy places the organism in Eukaryota, Viridiplantae, Streptophyta, Magnoliopsida, Solanales, Solanaceae. The record is from RefSeq and is a predicted model, not a curated record.